AGAGGACUGCUAAUUCCUAUGUAGGUGACAUUACAUUACUGCUAAUUCCUAUGUAGGUGACAUUACACUACUAUAGCUGAGACACAUAGUAAAACAGGUUGGGCCCCAUACAGGAUAUCUCUCACACACACACUCACUGUAAUCAUCCAGAACACUGUCACAACAGGAUACUCCUAGCCACAGGUGCUAGCCGGCAGUUCGGCCACAACUCCCCUGAAGAUAGGGACGCACACACUUUACACACUGACCCCAGAAGACAGGGACGACGCACAUACAGUACACACAUAGCUGCCGAGGACACCCAGAUAAGACACCCACAGAUUGGCAGAAAGCCUAGACUUAGUGACUGAAGAUAGCACACACACCAGAUCUCCUUUUCAGCUGAACAUGGUGUGACGACCAAGAACAGGCAUGGCAGGAUUCUACGAUGACGGACAGACAACAGAGCCAAUGCCGGAUGACUACACCCCAGCCUGAUCCAAUCCGAAGAUCCGAUCUCCUAGAUAUCAACCUACUUUCUGUUCUGUAUAUGAAGCUUGUACCCAUUGUUAACUAGUGCCUUUUUGCUAGUCUCUGAUGAGCUAACAGAGGGGCCCGUAUAUACGCUGUACCAGAUAUCUCCACUCUGAAAUAAACCUGUCGCUUCUCGUACAAUCUACCACCUUGUCUGCAUCGAUCCUUGACCGACUCACCCUUUAUCAUAUCCCAUUAUUAACAGAAAUGGUAGCAGAGGAUGGUUUAAUAACGAUCCAUCAAAGUGAGUUGAUUUGGGUGUGAGAGGGAGAGAGGGUGAAAGGACGAUUCACGGAGGACAGAGGUGAAGGAAUUCGGGGGAGGACAACAAUUCUGCUCAACUCGGUAAACUGAUCACAAGGCGCACCACAAACAAGGAUUUUAUGCAUUACAGGUGAACUACAGGUGAAGUCACUCAAUCCAGUCCCAGAGGCUUGGGGACCAUAGAUGACCCCUGGUGACAGCUAGCUGAAAGAGCUACCCAGAUUCAUAUCGCACGGCGGAAGGGUAAGACACUCUUUCACUGUCGGACAUUAAAACAGUGUUCGAGAGAAGAACUGGAAUUAACAGAAUUCCGGGGGCCAACUCUCGAAUGAAGUAACCCUACCUGUCCUAUCACCCCUGUUUUUGUUCAUAGAAGUGAGGAUGUGUCUGGCUCUGGCUAAGUGAUGUGUAUUUUGUUCCAAAAUAAGCAUAAGAGAUCCCUAGAUCUGGGUAUUUGUAAGUCGCUCUGGAUAAGAGCGUCUGCUAAAUGACUUAAAUGUAAAUGUAAAUAUAGACAAGAAGUUAGAGUAGAGAUUACAUGAUAACCGACUUCGGACAGUUCUAGGAUUGGAGAAGAGGGUAUCCUUAUAGCAUGGGGGAUCCCACAAGGGUGGAUAGGUUUUCCAUGAUAUGGGGAAACCUGGGAGCAAUGUUGAACUUUGUAAAGGUGAUGAAAUCCUACUAACCAUCAAAACUAUUAAGCUCUCUGAUGCAGGCACUCACACCCUCGGACUACAAAGGACGAGGACAGACAUGAUGGGUGUGUUUUCUAUUAAGGUACUGCCAAGACCAGAGGUAACCGGACACACUCCUCUACCACCACUGUGUUAAAAAUACCAUUCAGGUAAUUAAUGUUAGAGACUAUUCGGCUAUUGAUCAAUUAGGAACUGAGACUGGUUUUGAUAGUAGGGACAAUUUGUGGCUGUCUUAUAUGAGGUACACAGCUAAAACCCUGAGAGGAAAGGACUGCAUUAUUUGUAGUCAUGCUAGACCUGUUCUGGCUACACACCCAUUUGCUGUAGGAGAAGGAGAGGGGUGGUUGUGUGUUCUGAGAAGUUUUUACCAGGUUAAGCCCAAUUCAACCCUCUGUUCCUCUUUGAGCCUUGUGUUUCCUGCAGUACCUCCUCAUCGGGCCUCUUGGGGUGUUGAGGCAUAUGGGGGCAAUUAAGAGUGCAUCACGGGUACAGGUAAUGGCAUUGAUUAUGGGGGAUUGCCUGAAGCUGAUUGCAGUAGUAACAUAACCAUUAAUUCCACUUGGCCAGUUACAGGCUGAUGUGAGGUGGAUGAGUGGAGCCAAGAGUGCUGAGACCCAUUCUUAGAGGAGAAUGGCAAGGUACGUGUGCUCUGACCAGUUUGAUAAUUCCACUGACCAUUGUUGAUGUUACUGCUGAACAGCUGUUGGGUUCUGUAUCCAAGGGACCUGAAAACAUUCCAUCCCAUGGGAGACAUAGAUGUAGUACUCCAUGGACAGAGAAUGUAGUUGACAUAAACACUAACCUGUUGGGUGUGCCAGUGGGGGUUCCUCAUGAGUUUCAGGCCUUGGGUAGGAAUGAUGGACUCUGGCACUUACUACCUACUAUGGGUCCAGCCAUGGUGGAUGCUAGACAGACUGCAUGGAUUAAUUAUAUCUACUAUAAUCAACAGCGUUUUGUGAAUUACUCCCGUGAUGCACUCACUGGUAUGUCUGAACAGCUUGAGGCCACAUUUGGGGUUUCCAGACAGAAUAGACUUGCCUUGGAUAUGCUUCUUGCCAGUCAGGGGGACGUUUGCAAGAUGUUCGGUAAACAAUGUUGCACGUAUAUUCCUAAUAAUACCAGUCCAGAUGAUAUCUAGGGCGGGCUUGAUGCACUAUCUGAUAAGAUGAGGUCCACAGGGGGGGUGGAGGAGUCUGUUCUCUUGGCCUGGUUUGGUAAGUACACUGAUAUGAUGGUUACUGGAUUUCUGACCCUAAUUCUUGUAUUAUUUGUUAUUGAUGUGAUGUGCUGCUUGCAUCAUACCGUGUUCUAAGAAAUAUGUUACAGAUAUGGUGAAGGCUUCAGGCAUGUUGCCUUUGCUUGAUGCUCCAGUUGGAGAUGCCGAUACGGAAGCAUGCUUUCAGGAGAGGAUGGGACUGACUGAGGAUGACCCAUGGUAUGCUGUGGGUGAGGUAGUAGAAUAAUUUUACACCACCACAGUUCCUUGUUAUAAAUUUUUAUGAUAGGUUUUCUUUCCAGUAUGUUUGUUCUCCCUGUUGUAAAGGUUUAGAGUCCCUGGGUGGCAAGGAGCCCACCUGGUACAGGAUAGGAGUAGCUGAGAGGACCAGAUGGUUUCUAAUAAUUCUUUCCUCUGUUUUCCAUGACCAAAGUUUUAUCCUACAUCUUACAUGUCAAUAACAAUAAAGUUUUAUCCUGUUUUUGAUAAGUGACACCCUUGUGGGUGUCAAAAGGGGGAAACGCAUAUAACAAUAGACAUAUAUCACUUGUUAUUAAUAAUAAACUUUUUAUUAUUUUCAUGAAAUGCUAUGACUGCUGAAAUAAAGGAUAAUGAGUGUCAAAAGGGGACUUAAAUUUCACACCCUUGGGGUUAUUUUACAUUAUAGCCAUUACCAUAUAUAUGAUUGAAUAUUAUCUGCUGUUGCCUUGGGUGGAUGUGUGUAUGUGUUAUGUUCUCUAGCUGAUUUGAAACAUUGUUAAAAGUAUCAGGGCCAUGGAACUUUCUCAUGCUGGGAAAAUACAGAAGGGAGGGCACAUUCAGAGCGUGGGGUUGUGAGAACAAGCGGUCUUUUGUUAGAUAACAGGAGCCAGGUGCGAGAUAACGGUAUGGAGCAUGAGACCCAUCUUUUAGUUUUUGCAGCCAUUUUAGUGUUGUGCGGCUGCGGUUGCAUUCCAUGUAUCCGGUCCCUUACUGCUAGAGUUAUCUCCAGAGCUAUUGACCCUUCUUCCCCUUCCCAGAUGUAUCCUCUGCUUGCUAAUGACCUGCCAGAGUUUGAGGAUGAGGUGGAGAAUACCCUUUAGAGAGUGUCACAUCUCUUUGGAGAUGUGAAGAGAGGGUAUCACAACUUUUUCCGGCUGGAAAAGGUUGGCUUAUGUGGACAAACAUUUUACUUAUAGCUUAGAGCUGUUGUUCUCCGCAAUUGUUAAAUGAGGGUUGUAAGUUCCUAGGUGGCUGGUAGCCAACUUAGUACAUAGUGGGAUUGAGUGGAGAACUUGGUGGUAAUACAUAUACAUCCAUUUCUUUUAAUGUUGUGCCUUUUUCAUAGCCCCUUUGGGAAAAGUUUUCUUUUGUAUCAGAAUCUAGUUAGGUUGUGUCACGUCUCUGGGGAGACGUGAAGAGAGGGAUUUGUAGAGGACUGCUAAUUCCUAUGUAGGUGACAUUACAUUACUGCUAAUUCCUAUGUAGGUGACAUUACACUACUAUAGCUGAGACACAUAGUAAAACAGGUUGGGCCCCAUACAGGAUAUCUCUCACACACACACUCACUGUAAUCAUCCAGAACACUGUCACAACAGGAUACUCCUAGCCACAGGUGCUAGCCGGCAGUUCGGCCACAACUCCCCUGAAGAUAGGGACGCACACACUUUACACACUGACCCCAGAAGACAGGGACGACGCACAUACAGUACACACAUAGCUGCCGAGGACACCCAGAUAAGACACCCACAGAUUGGCAGAAAGCCUAGACUUAGUGACUGAAGAUAGCGCACACACCAGAUCUCCUUUUCAGCUGAACAUGGUGUGACGACCAAGAACAGGCAUGGCAGGAUUCUACGAUGACGGACAGACAACAGAGCCAAUGCCGGAUGACUACACCCCAGCCUGAUCCAAUCCGAAGAUCCGAUCUCCUAGAUAUCAACCUACUUUCUGUUCUGUAUAUGAAGCUUGUACCCAUUGUUAACUAGUGCCUUUUUGCUAGUCUCUGAUGAGCUAACAGAGGGGCCCGUAUAUACGCUGUACCAGAUAUCUCCACUCUGAAAUAAACCUGUCGCUUGUCGUACAAUCUA
This is a long non-coding RNA of Oncorhynchus nerka (sockeye salmon), 4757 nucleotides long. RefSeq lists it as uncharacterized. NCBI's taxonomy places the organism in Eukaryota, Metazoa, Chordata, Actinopteri, Salmoniformes, Salmonidae. The transcript is spliced from 2 exons. The record is from RefSeq and is a predicted model, not a curated record.